Molecule: ribosomal RNA, 440 nt
Filed under: uncultured bacterium
Lineage: Bacteria
Description: partial 16S ribosomal RNA
Rfam family: Bacterial small subunit ribosomal RNA
Source: RNAcentral
CCUACGGGAGGCAGCAGUAGGGAAUAUUGCACAAUGGGGGAAACCCUGAAGCAGCAACGCCGCGUGGAGGAUGAAGGUUUUCGGAUUGUAAACUCCUUUUGUUAGAGAAGAUAAUGACGGUAUCUAACGAAUAAGCACCGGCUAACUACGUGCCAGCAGCCGCGGUAAUACGGAGGGUGCAAGCGUUACUCGGAUUCACUGGGCGUAAAGAGCGCGUAGGCGGGAUAGCAAGUCAGAUGUGAAAUCCUAUGGCUUAACCAUAGAACUGCAUUUGAAACUGUUAUUCUAGAGUAUGGGAGAGGUAGGUGGAAUUCUUGGUGUAGGGGUGAAAUGCGUAGAGAUCAAGAGGAAUACUCAUUGCGAAGGCGACCUGCUAGAACAUAACUGACGCUGAGGCGCGAAAGCGUGGGGAGCAAACAGGAUUAGAUACCCCUGUAGUC